This 73-nucleotide transfer RNA is filed under the name Trichonephila inaurata madagascariensis. It matches the Rfam family "tRNA". Rfam says of the family: Transfer RNA (tRNA) molecules are approximately 80 nucleotides in length. The record is from Rfam by way of RNAcentral. Lineage: Eukaryota; Metazoa; Arthropoda; Arachnida; Araneae; Nephilidae.
GACCUCGUGGCCUAAUGGAUAAGGAAUCGGUCUCCUAAACCGGUAAUUGCGGGUUCAAAUCCCGCCGAGGGUA